UACGUAGGUCCCGAGCGUUGUCCGGAUUUAUUGAGCGUAAAGCGAGCGCAGGUGGUUUAUUAAGUCUGGUGUAAAAGGCAGUGGCUCAACCAUUGUAUGCAUUGGAAACUGGUAGACUUGAGUGCAGGAGAGGAGAAUGGAAUUCCUAGUGUAGCGGUGAAAUGCGUAGAGAUUAGGAAGAACACCAGUGGCGAAGGCGAUUCUCUGGACUGUAACUGACGCUGAGGCUCGAAAGCGUGGGGAGCAAACAGG
RNAcentral lists this ribosomal RNA (252 nucleotides) under uncultured bacterium. RNAcentral describes it as "partial 16S ribosomal RNA". It matches the Rfam family "Bacterial small subunit ribosomal RNA", at positions 524 to 776 of the family's 1533-position model. The record is from RNAcentral.